RNAcentral lists this long non-coding RNA (723 nucleotides) under Capsicum annuum. RNAcentral's name for it is "long non-coding RNA (CANN_LNC006303)". Lineage: Eukaryota; Viridiplantae; Streptophyta; Magnoliopsida; Solanales; Solanaceae. The record is from RNAcentral.
CUUUUCAAUUAAUUCAACUCACAAAUAUAAAAGAGUUGUUACACAUUUGGAUCUCAAUUUACGAUUCAUAAUAAGUAAACUUCAAUAGUCAAACAAAAGGAAGAUUAUCUCUACAGACGGAAGAAAAUGUAUGUGCUUCUUAGUAGAGUAUAAAUUUAAGAUUCUGUUCACAAGUAAAUUUGGACGUGGAUAGACAAUAUAAGACUGUCUAUAGAACAUAAUAUAUAUUUUAUGUAACCUUCAGUAUGACAACUUCCCCUUAUAAACAGGUUCAUCCAAUGACCAGCCACACAUCUCCAUUCUCUUGCCAUGUAUGUGACGUAUUAAAAAACUAAUAAAGUGGGGAACAUUCCAAUCCACAACUUGUUUCUUAUAUUUCAUAUAGUUUGCACAUUUUUCUUACCAUAUUGUAGUAGGAAUGAAGCAUUUUGUUGACAAUUGUAUUGUUGUCAGUUGCAAUUGAAAUUUGAGCCACGUAAAGAACCAGAAGAAUCAUAUGAAGCACUGUGAGGAUAAUUAGGGUCUUGUAGUUUUUGCAUACAAUUGUAUGCUAAAAAAUUCUUACAAUUGGGAGUUAUAAACAUAAAAAUCUUGGGGGUUAUAAAAUUGAAGAGGUGUGAUUAAGAGCAAAUAUUAUAAAAAUGAAAAGGUGUGAUUAAAAGUAGAUGUUAUGAAAAUAAAGAGGUGUGAGUCAUGGAGCUGAUUUUUAAAUAAUAUUAAUUG